CGGAGAUUCCGGCAGGGCAGACUGCCUCCCGCGGCAUGCCGGGAGCUGUAGUCCUGGGGCACGGAGCUUCCGGUCGGCCAUGGUGCCUCCCGGGGCAUGCCGGGAGACGUAGUCUUCGGGCGCCGGGCGGCCGGGCUGUGUUUGCCAGUGCAUGCCGGGAGCUGUAGUUUUCGCGGACUCGGCUGCCGGGCAGCAGCGUUGCUCUCCGGCGCGUACGGCGCGGCGCGAGGUGUAGUUUUGUUGCCGGUUUCGUGUGGUUUUUUGCGGGCUUCCUGCUCCGCCCGCUCCCCGACUAGUGUCCGAAGCGCGGUCCUGCGCGUGGGGCGCCGCGCAUGCGCGGAGGUGCCGCUGCGGUCCACGCUGCUGUCCUCUGGUAGCGGCAAUGCGAUGCCGCAGUGCCCGCGGGCUGGUGCCGCCGCGCUCGCUGCUGCCUCCCGAGGCCACGCUGUGGGUGCAGUUGUCCGUUCGUCCCCUGGGGAUGCCGUUGACUGCAGCAGCCUCAGGCUUGUGUGGGCUGUCUCUGCCAGGCCUCCCUCUCCUCGCAGCGUGGGAGCAAAAAGGGGCAGGCGGAACACUUACUGGCUGUGGACAGGAGCUGCUGAAGCUGGAGAGGCGACAGAAUGGUAAAGCUGCUGAAGAAUAAAAUAACGAGGAUCCGGCCAGCAGCUGCAGACAGGAGAUAGCCUGCCUCUCCAGGUGAGGAUGGAUCCUUCUUAGUGUAGUCCUUAGCAGAUCCGAUCACCAACGUGCACAGCAGGGUCUGUGGAUGACAGUAAAGUGACUGCAGCUACAGAGGAGGAAGGGAGAGGGAGAGAGAGACAGACAUGUCUGAACUGUCAAAUUCUCCCAGCAGCUCCAAGAGCGGGAGGUACAGUGAGUCCUGGACCCCUGGGGCUGUGUCACCCCUCUUCUGCAGCCCAGUCCCUCCCUGCCCCCACCUUCUCUUUCUCUCACUGCUUUAAUUUUUUUGUUUUUUCUUCUUGCACCUGUCCCUCUCUUGUUCUCUAAGUCCCCCUCUUUCUCUGUUGUUUUGCCUCUCUGUUUUCUUCUUCUCUCUGCACUUCUGUCCUGUCCCAUCCCUCUUUUUUCUUAUCCUGUCUCUGGCCUGCAGCCCAUCACUACUUUGUCUUUCUCCAUCUACCUGUCUGUCUUCUCAUCCCAAUCUUGUUAAUUCCUCCCUGUCUGCCCUGUAGCCCUUCACAAUUCCCGCUGCUCUCACCUGUCUGACGCUGUGUCUCUAUUUUUAAAUUCCUUUCUCUGCCCUGUAUUCUAGAUACACUUUUACUUUCUUAGAUUCUCUUGUUCCAGGUCCCUGUCUCUGUGUUUUAACUUCUUCCCUCACUGUCCCAUAGCCCAUUUUUGUCUUUAUCAUUCUCUCUCUCUCUGGCUCCCUGUCCCUAUUCUUUAUUUCCCCUCUCUCUCCCCUUUAGAUCACCUCACUGUCCCCUUUUUAAAUUCUUCCUUCUGCCCUGUGGCUCAUCACUAAUCUUUGUUUUUCUCCAUCUCUCUGUCUGGUACCCUAUCCCUUUUUAUUAGUUCUUCUUCUCUGUCCUGUAGCCCACUGCUAUUUCCCCCCCUGCCCCGCCUCUCUCUGUCUUCCUUUCCCUACUUUUCAAUCCCCCCUCUCUGCCCUGUAGCCGAUCACUGUUGUAGUGAGUUUGUGUGGCAAGCUGGGGCAGGGGAGUGGGCAGGGGCUGCAGGGGUGGGUUCUGUGAGAAGACACCAGGACUUGCCCCCAUGUUGGGCACAGCUAUUUCCAGCUCCAAGAUGGAGCUGCUGCUGGUCAAAGCUGAGCCAACCAGCAACGCUGGUAGCACCUCUGUGAUAUUUAAGAAGGGCUAAAAAAAUGCUGUGCAGAAGCUGUCAGUCCUGCAGAUGCUAAGGUCAGUGAAGAAGGAAAAGGAGGAGGUGAUCCAGGUCCUAAAGCAGAUUCCCCUGCAGCCUGCAGUGAAGACCAUGGUGACACAGGCUGUCCCCCUGCAACCCAUGGAGGUCCAUGGCGGAGCAGAUAUGCACCCUGCAGCCAAUGGAGGACCCCUCGCCAGAGCAGGCAGAUGCACCCGAAGGAGGCUUUGACGCUGUGGAGAGGAGCCCAUGCUGGAGCAGGUUUUCUGGCAGGACCUGCGGCCCCAUGGGAGUGACACCACGCUGGAACAGAAGAAGAGCAUGAAGGAAGAAGGAGCAGCAGAGACAACUUGUGAUGAACUGACUGCAACCCCCCCGCUCCCUCUCCCCCUGUGCUGCUCGGCAGGAGGAUGUAGAGAAAGAAUUCAGCAGUGAAGAUGAGCCCAGGAAAAAAAGAGAGGGGUGGGGGGAAGGUGUUUUUUAGGUUUGUUCGUAUUUCUCGUUAUUGUACUCUGAUUUUGACUGACGAUAAAUUAAUUUCCCCAAGUCGAGUCUGUUUUGCCUGUGACAGUAAUUGGUGAGUGAUCUCUUUGUCCUUAUCUUGACCCACAAGCUUUUUUGUUGUAUUUUCUACCCUCCUGUCUUGUUGAGGAGGGGGAAUGAUAGAGUAGCUUGGUGGACACUCAUCAGCCAGCCAAGGUCAACCCACCACAGCUUCCUUCUAUCAGGCUCCCUGUCCCUAUUUUUAAAAUCUUCCCUAUGUUUCUUGUAUGUCAUCACUUUUGAAACUUCCUACCUCUCCAUCCCUAUUUAAAUUCUUGCAUGUUUCUUAAACCCAGUGGCUUUUUAAAUUUUCUUGCUACUUUUCCCUCUCUGUCUCCCUGACCUUAUUUUAGUUUCUCAUCUGUGUUUCUUGUACCCUGUUGCUUUUCAAAUUUCGUUCUUACGUCUCCCUCUAUGCAGCUCCAUGUACCUACUUUUUGAUUCUUGUACCCUGUUGCUUUCAAAAUUUUCUUUCUAUGUUUCCUUCUAUCCAUCUCCCUGUCUCUAGUUCUUAACUCUUCCCUCUCUGUCCUGUACCCUGUCACUUCUUACAUUUUCUUUCUACAUCUCCCUCUUUCUAUCUCCCUGUGCCUAUUUGUUAGUUCUUGCCUAUGUUUCUUGUAUGCUGUUGCUUUUUGAAAUUUUUCUCUCUACCUGGCUCCCUGUUUCUGUUUUCUAGUUCUUGCUGUUUCUUCUCCCGUAUCACUUGAGAAUGUUUCCCUGUCCCUUGUCCUGUCUUUAUCUUGUUGUCCUGCCAGUCCCUUCCCCUUCUCUCCCCCGCUUCCUAUUAUUUAUUCCUCCAUCUCCAUCCCUGUUUUUCUGCUCAGUCUCUCUGCUCUUCUCCCUCUACACCAUUUUCCUGCUUCUUGUCCCCCUCUUGUUCCGAGCAUCCAAUUUCCUGGCUCCGUCUUGCACGUCUGUGUCCCUCUGUCCUUCCUCCUGCUUUUCUCUUCCCUUUUAUCCCCCCAUCCUGCUGCCUUUGGGCACUGAGCCUUGUAGCCAACUCAUUGCCAGGAUUUCUUAUAUGCAUUAAUAAAUAAAUUUUUCCUGC
Long non-coding RNA from Aquila chrysaetos chrysaetos, 3439 nucleotides. RefSeq lists it as uncharacterized. The transcript has 4 exons. The record is from RefSeq and is a predicted model, not a curated record. Lineage: Eukaryota; Metazoa; Chordata; Aves; Accipitriformes; Accipitridae.